RNAcentral lists this ribosomal RNA (119 nucleotides) under Cephalotus follicularis. The record is from RNAcentral. Lineage: Eukaryota; Viridiplantae; Streptophyta; Magnoliopsida; Oxalidales; Cephalotaceae.
GAGUGCGAUCAUACCAGCACUAAUGCAUCAGAUACCAUCAGAACUCUGCAAUUAAGCGUGCUUGGACGAGAGUAGUACUAGGAUGGGUGACCUCCUUGGAAGUACUUGUGUUUUACCCC